GGGGAAACAAAAAAAUGAGGGACCAUAAUUAAAUUUAAUUCUACAAAUCUUUAUUAAGCUUUUAUUAUGUGCAAGACACUGUGCUAAAGGCAAACAAUCCCUGUUCUCAAGAAAAUUAUAUUCAACUGGGGGACACAUUUACAUAGAUAAAUAAUUUGAGGAGGAAGGAAACACUAUCACCUGGGGGAAGGGUGGUAUUCAGGGUUUACUAGAGAAAGUGGGGCCUCAGUUAAAUUGGAUGGAAUUCUUUCAGGUUAAGGUGAAGAGAGAUAGAGUGGAGAGGGGAGCAUACAUUCUAAGGACAAAAAAGUGAAAAAAGUAUGGAGGUAGAAGAAAAUGUUUAAUUCUGGAUACUCAUUACAGUAUAUGAUGGGGGGAAAUGCCAAAUGAGCCAGAAAAAGAAGGAGGAGCCCGAUUGUGGGGGUGUGGGUGUUGCCUGAAGAAUUCUUAUUUUAUUUUUGGGGCAAUGAGGAACCACGGACAUUUUUAACAAGGAAUUUUAAACAAAAUUUAACAAUUUUUUUUUUAACAUAGUCUCAUAUAUGCUUUAUUUAGGAAGAUCAUUUUGGCAGUUAUAUGGAGGAUAGAUUAGGGAGGGGGAAAGUUAGAAAUUGGGAAAUCAAUUAUAAUAGACUAAGUAAUAAAGGCCUGAAAUGGGGUGGAUCUUCUAAGGAAAGAGAACUGGAUAGACAUAGCUACUUUUGGACAUGGGGAUCAUGGAAGUAGGAAAAGUCAAGGAUGACUCUGAGGUGGCAAACCUGGGUAAUUGGAAGGACUGGGGUGCCCUCAACAGAAAUCAGGAAAUUUGGGUUUGAUGGUGGUAUACUGAAUUUGUGUUGGGGUAUCUCACAGAUGCUAGCAAAGCUGGACUUGAGUUCUAAACUAGGAGAUAGUUUUGGAUGAGACAUAUGGACUUGAGAGAUAAUUGGACCUGGAAGUAGAUAAGCUUAUCAAGGAGAAAAGUUUAAAGGGACAAAGGAUGACAUGGGCAGAAUAUUUUUCUUGGAUCUUUGCAAGUAUUUCUCCUAUUUUAUAGCCAGAACCACAAGGCCCAUAGAUAUUAAAUGAAUUGUCCAAGAUUAUACGGAUAAUAUAUAUAUAUAUAUAUAUAUAUAUAUAUAUAUAUAUAUAUAUAUCUCAGAGAUAGGCUUUGAAUACUGAGUCUGACACUACCCACUACACUGCCCAAGGCAAUUUGGAAGAUAAAAGGCUGGGUGGAGUCAAGAUGUCAUAGGUAGCCUAGAGCAUCAGUGGAGGCUCAAAGUACUUGAAGAAGCAGGGGUGUGUGUAUGGGAGGGGGGGAGGAUGGAAGUUAGAAGAGUUAAGGGUAGCCCAGGACAAUAGGGACAUACAGGGUAUAGAAGGCACAAUGUCAGGGGGAAGUAAUAGAGUUUUGUAGGAAGCACAGGCAGGCAGUUAAGAAAGAAAGUCCUAAAAAGGCUUAGAAGGUGGUUAGCUAGAAGGUCUGCCAUGGGAAGCAGGAGACAGUUGAUGAAGCAGUUAAUAUUAUAGGAGGCACAAGUUGUAGGGUAGCAGCACGUGUUAGGAAAGACAAUGUGUUCUCAGAGGUACAAAGCAUUUGUAAAGACAUCAGAGAAUGACAUGAUAAUGACCUAGUGCCAGUGCAGACUAUCAGCAAAGUCACAAACAAGACUUUAUUUAAACACAAAAAGCUAGAGGUAAAAAGAGGAGCUAUAGGGUACCCAAGGCAUAUACAAAAACAGAAUUCAGAACAAAGGGCAAAUGCAUAAAUAAACCUUGUGGCUCAAAUCUGGGGCCAAAAGGGCCCGGGGCUAGGCCAUCAAGGUCCAAUCCUUUGCUUUAGGCAGACUUAGGGCACCAUAGCAUGGUCUCAAAUAGCUGACAGGCUGAGCCAAUGAGGAGGAAAGAGCUUUUCUAAAAAUGGCCAAGCGGGGCCCAGCAGCUGGGGCUCAGGCUAUCACAUGCAGGUCUAGAAUUAGCAUCAACCUCCUCUCUCCAGCAGACCCAUAGUCUGAACAGAAGUGAAGGCAAUAUUGGGGAUACAUGCACCUGCCUCUAUAGGUAGCCUUAAUCCCAAAAGAGAAAUUGGAGAUGUUAAUAAAAUUCUCAAUUCCCCUUUUGCCAUUUUCAACAUAGGCGACCUUGCAAACCUAACUUCCCUUUCCUGUUUUCUCAAAUGUAAAACGAGGGGAGUGCAAAAUGGGAGUAAAAAGGGACCAGAUGGUCCUGUCCAGUUCUAUGUAAGGAUCCAGAUAGCACACAGCACUCACAGGGAGCAGUGAAUACUAGAAAGAGCCCUGAUUUUAAAUGUCAGGGACCUAGGUUCCCAGAUGCUAUUUUUGUAACUGUGUGACUUUAGGCAAAUUACUUUUCCCUCUCUGGGUCUCUGAUUAGUCAUCUGUAGACUAGAAGUAAUUCCCAUUUCCUCUCUUAGAAGAUUGUAGAAGAAAGUACUUGAUGAGCUACAAAGCACCACAGAAAAGGGAACCCCAAUCCUUCACCCCCAUUUGCCAUUGUAGCAUUUGGGUAUCCCUUCCAAUUAUCUUCUAAGAUAAUUUUGACUUAAAUUUACUAUGUGGCCUAGAAGAUCCUGUCUCUGGGCCUAAGUUUUUUCAUUCCCUUAUUUCUAAGGU
Molecule: long non-coding RNA, 2615 nt
Organism: Sarcophilus harrisii (Tasmanian devil)
Lineage: Eukaryota; Metazoa; Chordata; Mammalia; Dasyuromorphia; Dasyuridae
Source: Ensembl